ACGCUGGCGGCGUGCCUAACACAUGCAAGUCGUAACGAAUCUACUUUGUAGCAAUAUAGAAGAAGGUGAGUGGCGCACGGGUGAGUAAUACAUAGAUGAUCUGCCUUUCAGACUGGGACAACUCAGGGAAACUUGAGCUAAUACCAGAUAAGACCACAUGAAGGGAUUCACGUGACCAAAGGGUGAGCAAUCUCCUGCUGGAAGAUGAGUCUAUGUCCUAUCAGGUUAGUUGGUGGGGUAACGGCCUACCAAGACGAAGACGGGUAGCCGGCCUGAGAGGGUGAACGGCCACACUGGAACUGAGACACGGUCCAGACUCCUACGGGAGGCAGCAGUGAGGAAUUUUCCGCAAUGGGGCGAAAGCCUGACGGAGCGACGCCGCGUUGAGGGAUGAAGGUUUUCGGAUCGUAAACCUCUUUUAUCAAGGAAAAAGGCUAUAAUGCGAAUAACAUUAUAGUUUGAUUGUACUUAAUGAAUAAGCCCCGGCUAACUACGUGCCAGCCGCCGC
RNAcentral lists this ribosomal RNA (508 nucleotides) under uncultured bacterium. Its description in RNAcentral is "bacterial SSU rRNA". It matches the Rfam family "Bacterial small subunit ribosomal RNA", at positions 33 to 518 of the family's 1533-position model. The record is from RNAcentral.